Non-coding RNA from Hypoxylon cercidicola, 84 nucleotides. The record is from the annotation of a GenBank genome assembly. Lineage: Eukaryota; Fungi; Ascomycota; Sordariomycetes; Xylariales; Hypoxylaceae.
AGCUCUGUAAUGUAGUGGUAGCCUUCCUGACUCUAGCUUCUGGCUGGUAAGGCGAGGGUGUUGGUUCGAAUCCAGCCAGGGUCA